Molecule: ribosomal RNA, 494 nt
Filed under: uncultured bacterium
Lineage: Bacteria
Description: partial 16S ribosomal RNA
Rfam family: Bacterial small subunit ribosomal RNA
Source: RNAcentral
GACGAACGCUGGCGGCGUGCUUAACACAUGCAAGUCGAACGGUGAAGCGCCUUCCUUUUUGGUGGGUGUGGAUGAGUGGCGAACGGGUGAGUAACACGUGAGUAACCUGCUCCCUUCUUCUGGAUAACCGCAUGAAAGUGUGGCUAAUACGGGAUAUUCUGGGUCUGUCGCAUGAUGGGUCUGGGAAAGAUAUUGUUUCGGUGGGGGAUGGGCUCGCGGCCUAUCAGCUUGUUGGUGGGGUGAUGGCCUACCAAGGCGGUGACGGGUAGCCGGCCUGAGAGGAUGGACGGUCACACUGGGACUGAGACACGGCGCAGACUGCGACGGGAGGCAGCAGGGGGGAAUAGUGCACAAUGGGAGCAAGCCUGAUGCAGCGACGCCGCGUGAGAGAUGGAGGCCUGCGUGUUGUGAACCUCUGUCGCCAGUGAAGCAGGCCUGCCUCGUUUGUGGGUGGGUUGACGGUAGCUGGAGAAGAAGCGCCGGCUAACUACGUG